UCUCUUCCUCAUGCCAGAGCGCACAGCCGGUUACAACAAGCUGCAAGCACCCACGUUUUCUUCAUGGCCGAGCGAGUGGUGCAGAGCUUUUAGGACAUGCAUAUUGAUUGGGAGAAACGGUCUAACACCGACAUGCCUCGUAAGGAGAGGAGGCGGAAGCAGCAACAGAAAGAGCUACAUGAGGCAGCUAAAGGCAGUGGGUCCCUCACCAGCUGGAUAAAAAAAGAGUACAGUUUGAGAUCAACACAGCCUUGCCCUCCAGCAUCAGCAGCAAGAGGAGCAACCCUGCAACAGCUAUUGUACCCCAUCAUCAGGUAAAAUAGGACAGCAAUAGAUCAGGAGGUGGAGCAUGUUGUCCAGUAAUAAGAAGGUUGCAGGUUUGAUCCUGACUUCAAUCAGAGAUUGAUGCUGUUGUGUCCUUGGGCAAGACACUUAACCUGCUUUGCCUGCUGGUGGUGGUCGGAGGGACUGGUGGUGCCUGUGCUCAGCAGCUUCACCUGUCAGUGCGCUCCAGAGCAGCUAUGGCUACAUCAUAGCUCAUCACUAUCAGUGUGUUAAUGUGUGUGUGUGUGUGAAUUUUGUUGUAAUGUGCCUUGGGGGGUUGUAGAACCCUAAGAAGGCAUUAUACAAAUACAGACCAUUUACCAAAACAAGUUACUUUUGCUUUACAUUGUCCUUAUGUGGUAAGGGUGUAUAUAAUGAUUUGCUUCCUGUUUGAAUUUCUAAUAAAUAUGAUUUGUUAUUCAGCCGGGUAUACUGUGGUUAUGUCAUGAUGUUUGAAAAUAUUAUUCUGUGUGCCCCUUUUUAAAUUUGAGCACCCGCCCCUUCAAAGGUCUCUGCACAGCCCUGCAAACCACCCUUUUCCGGUUUAAUAUAAACUAUAACUGUUUAUUUUAAAGAGUAAAGAUUUUAUCAUGUAGUCAGUCACUGCAAGGCAUCCAUGAAAUAUACAAUCGCAGAGGGAAAGUAUUCACAUGUAUUACUUAAGCCUGAUUCAUGCUUCUCCGUCAGCUCCGCAAGGGACAGACGCACGGAUUGACGGAAGCGUUUUGCUCUCAUACUUCUCCGUCUCCUGGGGAGUGUUGCAAAACAAUUCCCCCACCAAGACAACAGAGGGCGUAGCGCUGUUCUGUGGUAUCCUGUCAUGUAUCCGGUCCAAGAUAGUGGCCGUGUUCGAGAUGAGCCAGUUCUGCGCAGAUUAGACCAGCGGUGAUCGGCAAGCAGUGCAUGCCGGUUAGAUUUGUGUCCGACUUGAUGCCGACUUGCUCUGACGUCAUGCAUACGUAGGCAACGAUAACCUCAUGAGAUCAAGGCAGCCGCAGAUUUUGGAGCAAGGCGCUGCAGUUGCUCUCCCUCGGCUGCAAAACCUAGGGGAUGAUGGGAAACGCCUGGCUCUCACCUGAUCUAAGAUCUGAUUGGUUCAUAUUUGGAUCCAAACAUCCGGUGGUAGAACAUGAAAUGUUAGUUGGUCACAUGUAUUCUGUAAAUCAUGUAACGUUGAUGAUGACAACUAUCUAGGCCAUAAAGAGAAACGUGUUUUGUAUUCUUUUGUCACGUUUCCUAUGAGCACACUAAACCUACAGUGGAUAACCUUUACUUAUUAUUACAGUCAUGUCUCCAUUUACAAUAUACGAUAUCCACAAGCACGUGAGGAUGUGUUUCAGCUGCUAACAGGCACCAGAAUUAAAAUUGAAAAUUAAACAAGUGUGAACGCUCACGCGAUAUCUUCAUCCAUCGUCACCCCCAAGCUACACAUGUAGGGAAAUCUGUCCGACUUACGUCGGCUUUCAGCCACUUCCCCUGCUGCUUCCGCCUGCUCUCGUCUGUUUUCCAGGCGAGGCGCAGCUCAACUCGAACACGGCCACUGUGUUUAUGUUUUUUUGUAUACAAGACUU
Long non-coding RNA from Nothobranchius furzeri (turquoise killifish), 1895 nucleotides. RefSeq lists it as uncharacterized. Lineage: Eukaryota; Metazoa; Chordata; Actinopteri; Cyprinodontiformes; Nothobranchiidae. The record is from RefSeq and is a predicted model, not a curated record.